UCUCCUGGGGAGCUUGUGAACACCAGACUCUGAUUCCGUAGGUCAGGGUGGGGCCUGAGACUCUGCAUUUCUGACAAGUUCCCAGGGGAUGCC
RNAcentral lists this microRNA precursor (93 nucleotides) under Chlorocebus sabaeus (green monkey). RNAcentral's name for it is "miRNA (ENSCSAG00000024587.1)". Lineage: Eukaryota; Metazoa; Chordata; Mammalia; Primates; Cercopithecidae. The record is from RNAcentral.